GUGGCCUGGAUUCCAGACGGACAGAACAACCAAUGGGGUGUGAAGUUCCUUUCCUCAUUAGAGAGGACGUUGGAGUGCCUUCGUUCCCUCCAUCUUCAUUUUAGCUGGCAUCUCACCUACAACCUCCUUCAGGAUCCCUGGGAGUCCCCAGCACCCCGGUUUGGCAAGCACCCGUGUAGGAUGUGUCAACUGACCCCAAAUCCCAUUGAGCUGCGGGCUAUUAUGCAACACUCAGAGCUGCUCGCGAAUGCCAAUUACGGCCUCGAAACUCAAUGGGGCGAGGUGGAGGGAGCUUGAGCAGCAAAUGUUGCAGUGCCGUGUCCAGAGGGGACGCGCCUCACAUGAGAACACCGGCAGGGAGACUCACCAGCGACCGCUGAAUGCAGAAGGAUCUCCCGCUGAUGAGAAG
Long non-coding RNA from Anoplopoma fimbria (sablefish), 409 nucleotides. RefSeq lists it as uncharacterized. The transcript has 3 exons. The record is from RefSeq and is a predicted model, not a curated record. NCBI's taxonomy places the organism in Eukaryota, Metazoa, Chordata, Actinopteri, Perciformes, Anoplopomatidae.